RNAcentral lists this ribosomal RNA (467 nucleotides) under uncultured bacterium. RNAcentral's name for it is "partial 16S ribosomal RNA". It matches the Rfam family "Bacterial small subunit ribosomal RNA", at positions 28 to 507 of the family's 1533-position model. The record is from RNAcentral.
GAUGAACGCUGGCGGCGUGCUUAACACAUGCAAGUCGAACGGAAAGGCCCAAGCUUGCUUGGGUACUCGAGUGGCGAACGGGUGAGUAACACGUGGGUGAUCUGCCCUGCACUUCGGGAUAAGCCUGGGAAACUGGGUCUAAUACCGGAUAGGACCACAUUUUGGAUGGUGUGGUGGAAAGUUUUUCGGUGUGGGAUGAGCUCGCGGCCUAUCAGCUUGUUGGUGGGGUAAUGGCCUACCAAGGCGUCGACGGGUAGCCGGCCUGAGAGGGUGUACGGCCACAUUGGGACUGAGAUACGGCCCAGACUCCUACGGGAGGCAGCAGUGGGGAAUAUUGCACAAUGGGCGCAAGCCUGAUGCAGCGACGCCGCGUGGGGGAUGACGGCCUUCGGGUUGUAAACUCCUUUCGCUAGGGGCGAAGCGUUUUUGUGACGGUACCUGGAGAAGAAGCACCGGCUAACUACGUG